Non-coding RNA from Oesophagostomum dentatum (nodular worm), 73 nucleotides. NCBI's taxonomy places the organism in Eukaryota, Metazoa, Nematoda, Chromadorea, Rhabditida, Strongylidae. The record is from the annotation of a GenBank genome assembly.
UCAGCUAUGGCGCAGCGGUUAUCGUGUUAGUCUUGCAUGGCAGAGGUCACGGGAUCGACUCCUGGUCGGGGAU